GGAUGCCAGCUCUCUGACCCCAGGAGGUUGGAUUGGGCUGGAGAGUGUUCACUCCAGCCUCCUGGCCUUUGCUCAAGCUGUCCUUUGCCUGGGAUACCCAAUUCCUGUUCUCAAGCACAUUUGUCUUGAAGAAAAAUGAUGUGCCGAACUGCGCAGAUGGAAAUUUCGAGCAAUGAGAAAGAUUAAAGUGAAACCCCACUCCUUAGACCUAAUCAUGAGUUGUAGAUUAUUCUGUCGGCCCAGCCAGAUGGUAGCUCUGAUUCCACAGCCCCUUCUUAUAUUAAUGAAUACUCGACUGUUAUAUUUGACUUAGGCUUCUCAUCUGUAACUGGUGAAGCCCGGAAGAGCUUGUUGUUCAAGAGGAAAUCUUGUGUUACUUCUUUAUGAAGGACUCCAGCCUGGUGGAGAUGAAUGAGUCCUGAAGAUGGAAUCGAAGCUGUUUGGGCACAAUACUUUAAUCAGCAUUUAAUGACCCAGUCGAAAAUUCAUUGUUUGGACCCAAGCACUGGUGGGAAAGGCAGGAGGGGAGGCCUGCCUUCCUUCCUCCCUCCCGAGCCCUACAGCAGGCCAUGGAGUGGUGAGCGAGUUCGUACAGUGCCAACCACAUUCCCAGAAACUUCCAGCAGAGGUUAAUCCUGCUCCUCUCAGGAAAAAGUGAUUCAGCUCCGGUCCACCCUGGGUGCAGCGGUCCUUCUGCCAAGAUGCCUUCAUAUCAUACAGCUAUUAUUUUCGGGAGGAUUCCAAGUGAGGGCAGUCAGGGUGGGCUUGGCCCAUUCUCUAGACUUUGGAAGGUAAUGUUCUAUAGAGGCCUGUUCUGAAGCUUUACCAGGUCAAACCGGAGAAGAACCCAACAAGUAACUCAUCCCAGCCUAACUAUUCUUCAAGGGCAAUCAACCUACAGCAUCCAAGCACAGAGAAAUCAAAUCCAUGGAGAAUCUUCAAAUUAGGCUCAGAAUCCAUUUGGGUCAAUGAAUUUACUGUUAUUAAGAUCUUAGUUGUGUUCAACCAUGAUUUGACAUACCUUAGAGUGAGAAGAUAUUCUUCCUGGCCUCAGACUAGUUGAAGGUAGAGAGAGAGACAGGCCCUUGGGUGUGGGGAGACCUCUCCUGGGAUAAUACACACAAAAAACCAAGAGCUGCUCACUGUGGUGCAGGAGACAGCAGGGCCUGAAGCCAGAGGCUCUGUGUCCUUGAAUACAAUGUUUUACUCCUCUGACCCCUGUUACUGUGAUUUGGAGAGGCAGACAAUAUAGGAUGGGCUUUGCAGGCAGGGAGGUCCAGUUAUAAUCCCAGCUCUUACUAAGUUGGGUAAGACUCACUCUGAGACUUAGUUUCUUCUGUCAUCUCUCAAUAGAAUCAUAAAGGUACUUUCCUCUUAGUGUUGUUUUAAAAUUCAGUAAAAUAAUGCAGGCUUAGCACAGGGUCUGAUGUAAAUUUUCAAUGAAUUAUCGUUGUCAAUAUUGUUCUGGAAAACAAGAGGGCAUAUUAGAAGAUCAAAAGUACUGCCAAGCAUUGAAGUGCCAAUUCUAGAUCCAGUCUCAGCCCUCUGAGAAUGGAUAUCAUUGUUUUCAAGCCAUUCAGAAACCAAUGUGAAUUGAACACCUAGUAUGAGCUCUCUGAGGGAAGAGCCAAGUCAUGCAUUUUUUAUCUUAAGGGGUCUUCAAUACCUCUAGCCCAAAACAGUAUCUCCAUCAGGAUUCUUCUCUGAUAGUGUUCAUUUCUUUUUUCUCAAUGGAUGCCUUAAAAAAAAAAUCCUACAAGGAAACCUGUACUCCUCAAAUACACCACUCAGGUGACCAUUAAAUCAUUUACAUUGUUAAUUUCUUUUCAGAU
This 1832-nucleotide long non-coding RNA is filed under the name Homo sapiens (human). RNAcentral describes it as "PREDICTED lncRNA (TCONS_00027577)". The record is from RNAcentral. Lineage: Eukaryota; Metazoa; Chordata; Mammalia; Primates; Hominidae.